GAUGAACGCUGGCGGCGUGCCUAAUACAUGCAAGUCGAGCGAACAGAUGAGGAGCUUGCUCCUCUGACGUUAGCGGCGGACGGGUGAGUAACACGUGGAUAACCUACCUAUAAGACUGGGAUAACUUCGGGAAACCGGAGCUAAUACCGGAUAAUAUAUUGAACCGCAUGGUUCAAUAGUGAAAGACGGUUUUGCUGUCACUUAUAGAUGGAUCCGCGCCGCAUUAGCUAGUUGGUAAGGUAACGGCUUACCAAGGCAACGAUGCGUAGCCGACCUGAGAGGGUGAUCGGCCACACUGGAACUGAGACGCGGUCCAGACUCCUACGGGAGGCAGCAGUAGGGAAUCUUCCGCAAUGGGCGAAAGCCUGACGGAGCAACGCCGCGUGAGUGAUGAAGGUCUUCGGAUCGUAAAACUCUGUUAUUAGGGAAGAACAAAUGUGUAAGUGACUAUGCACGUCUUGACGGUACCUAAUCAGAAAGCCACGGCUAACUACGUG
RNAcentral lists this ribosomal RNA (497 nucleotides) under uncultured bacterium. Its description in RNAcentral is "partial 16S ribosomal RNA". It matches the Rfam family "Bacterial small subunit ribosomal RNA", at positions 28 to 507 of the family's 1533-position model. The record is from RNAcentral.